Molecule: transfer RNA, 73 nt
Filed under: Cordylochernes scorpioides
Lineage: Eukaryota; Metazoa; Arthropoda; Arachnida; Pseudoscorpiones; Chernetidae
Description: tRNA-Thr
Rfam family: tRNA
About the family: Transfer RNA (tRNA) molecules are approximately 80 nucleotides in length. Their secondary structure includes four short double-helical elements and three loops (D, anti-codon, and T loops). Further hydrogen bonds mediate the characteristic L-shaped molecular structure. tRNAs have two regions of fundamental functional importance: the anti-codon, which is responsible for specific mRNA codon recognition, and the 3' end, to which the tRNAs corresponding amino acid is attached (by aminoacyl-tRNA synthetases). tRNAs cope with the degeneracy of the genetic code in two manners: having more than one tRNA (with a specific anti-codon) for a particular amino acid; and 'wobble' base-pairing, i.e. permitting non-standard base-pairing at the 3rd anti-codon position.
Source: RNAcentral
GCCAGGGUAGCCUAGUGGACAUGUCAACUGCCCGGUAAGCGGAACACUGUGGGUUCGAUUCCCAUCCCUGGAU